Molecule: ribosomal RNA, 253 nt
Filed under: uncultured bacterium
Lineage: Bacteria
Description: partial 16S ribosomal RNA
Rfam family: Bacterial small subunit ribosomal RNA
Source: RNAcentral
UACGUAGGGGGCUAGCGUUGUCCGGAAUCAUUGGGCGUAAAGCGCGUGUAGGCGGCCCGGUAAGUCCGCUGUGAAAGUCGGGGGCUCAACCCUCGGAUGCCGGUGGAUACUGUCGGGCUAGAGUGCGGAAGAGGCGAGUGGAAUUCCUGGUGUAGCGGUGAAAUGCGCAGAUAUCAGGAGGAACACCAAUUGCGAAGGCAGCUCGCUGGGACGGUACUGACGCUGAGGCGCGAAAGCGUGGGGAGCAAACAGG